CAGAGAUGCUAUGUUAGCUUACUGGCGACGACUAUCCAACACAACACUGGAACUCUUCCAAGUCAAGGCGGGGAUCCGGGCCUGUUCCAGUGAAAGCAGGAUAUCCUUCUCGUUGGACUCGUUAAAGGAAGAAGUUUCUUCCAGUCCACGGUGAGUAAUCGCUAUUCUGAUGUCCAGACGUUAUUUUCUGUCAUAAGAGACGAUUGCAGCAACAUUAUGUAUACAAUAUGUUUUUUUUAAAGUUACACAAAAUGCAAAAAAAAAUAACAAAACAUCACAAUUGGUUGGGAGAAUGUAAAACGUCAGCCACGUUCUUCGGCGCCAUCUCAUUUGAGAAUACAUUCUAAAAUGACAGCCUCUCUCCUUCCCAAGUGCCUACAUUUAAAAAGAUGGCCACCAAGCAUUUUGGGACUGUCUUACAUUACAAACGAUGCCAAAUAUAAGCUGUGUAAUGCACUGCAGCUAUAAGACAAGGAGACCAGAGUGUCAUCACAGCGACAACAUUGAAACAUUACCACAUGCUGAUGGUCUAUCUCAUUACCCUACUAUCAAUCAUCAUAUGCAAUUAAAGCCACCAGCCAGCACGGGCUCAAUGACACCAUUACUCACAUCACAUGACACACACAUUGUGCACACACAUUGUACACACACACACACACACACACACACACACACACACACACACACACACACACACACACACACACACACACACACACACCUUGUGACCUUGAAAUCCUUAUAGUGUUUGUGUUGGUUUAGAAUUACUUACAUUGAUGCAACAGCUACAGAAUAUAGUCUCAAUCAUUAUAUUACAUGAUACAACUAGCUUCCAACCAAUGAAGAAACACAAAACCACCAUGAGCGACCUCUCCAUGAGGGUUGAAAGGGUUGGUCUCUUACCUCUUGGGUGUGUCCUCCUCUUUCCCAACUGGCUCUGGCCUGUCCCCGAGGGGCGGGCUGUUGCCGUGUGACCCGUUGCCAUGGCAGCGCUGGUGGUCGCUUUCGCGGGCGAUGUCGGUGGCGUUCUGGAUGACCAGGUGGUCGUAGGUGUGCAGGCCCUGGUCUUCUGCCCCCUGGAGGAACCUCUGGACACUGCAGUCCUCCGUCUGUUGAGAUGACAGUCUACGAUGCACACGCUGUCUGGCCAGCCAGCCACGGAUCACUGACAGAGGAUAGGGGAUUCCCUUGUCAGGUUAGAUCUGUGAAUCCCCCUCUUCCGCUCGGAUUAAAGAACAUCCUGAGAGGAAAGCAAUUGACAUCUUACCACUUCCAACACACACACACACACACACGG
Long non-coding RNA from Oncorhynchus masou masou (cherry salmon), 1297 nucleotides. RefSeq lists it as uncharacterized. The transcript is spliced from 3 exons. NCBI's taxonomy places the organism in Eukaryota, Metazoa, Chordata, Actinopteri, Salmoniformes, Salmonidae. The record is from RefSeq and is a predicted model, not a curated record.